UGAGGAAUAUUGGUCAAUGGGCGAGAGCCUGAACCAGCCAAGUAGCGUGCAGGAUGACGGCCCUAUGGGUCGUAAACUGCUUUUGCGCGGGGAUAAAGUGCGCCACGUGUGGCUCAUUGCAUGUACCUUAUGAAUAAGGACCGGCUAAUUCCGUGCCAGCAGCCGCGGUAAUACGGAAGGUCCGGGCGUUAUCCGGAUUUAUUGGGUUUAAAGGGAGCGUAGGCCGUCUUAUAAGCGUGUUGUGAAAUGUCGUGGCUCAACCUGGGCAUUGCAGCGCGAACUGUGAGACUUGAGUGCGCAGGAAGUAGGCGGAAUUCGUCGUGUAGCGGUGAAAUGCUUAGAUAUCACGAAGAACUCCGAUUGCGAAGGCAGCUCACUGGAGCGCAACUGACGCUGAAGCUC
RNAcentral lists this ribosomal RNA (402 nucleotides) under uncultured Prevotella sp. RNAcentral describes it as "bacterial SSU rRNA". It matches the Rfam family "Bacterial small subunit ribosomal RNA", at positions 355 to 754 of the family's 1533-position model. Lineage: Bacteria; Pseudomonadati; Bacteroidota; Bacteroidia; Bacteroidales; Prevotellaceae. The record is from RNAcentral.